Pseudopodoces humilis (Tibetan ground-tit) is the source of this 2577-nucleotide RNA transcript. It is a transcript of the gene named double PHD fingers 3, with no coding region annotated. NCBI's taxonomy places the organism in Eukaryota, Metazoa, Chordata, Aves, Passeriformes, Paridae. The record is from RefSeq and is a predicted model, not a curated record.
GGACCAGUUCUACAAAGAAGCCAUUGAGCACUGUCGCAGCUACAACUCUCGGCUCUGUGCCGAGCGAAGCGUCCGCCUUCCCUUCCUGGAUUCUCAAACUGGGGUAGCUCAGAACAACUGCUACAUCUGGAUGGAGAAGAGGCACAGGGGACCAGGCCUGGCCCCAGGUCAGCUGUACACAUACCCAGCACGUUGCUGGCGCAAAAAGAGGCGUUUGCAUCCCCCUGAGGAUUCCAGGCUGAAGCUGCUGGAAAUUAAACCUGAAGUUGAUCUGCCUCUGAAAAAAGAUGGGUUCACCUCAGAAAGUACAACUCUGGAAGCCUUGCUGCGUGGAGAGGGAAUAGAGAAAAAAACAGACACUAAAGAGGAAGACACUAUACAAGAAAUCCAGAGGGUUUUAGAAAAUGAUGAAAAUGCAGAUGAAGUGAACGAGGAAGAAGACUUGGAAGAAGAUAUUCCAAAACGAAAGAACAGGCCUAGAGGACGGCCAAAGACCCCCACCUGGAAAAAAAUUUUCCAGAAAAAUGCUCGGGGAUCUGGAGGUGGCAGGAGACGGAAUGAUGCUGCCUCCCAGGAUGAUCAUGACAAGCCCUAUGUUUGUGACAUCUGUGGCAAGCGUUACAAGAACAGGCCUGGGCUGAGCUACCACUAUGCUCACACCCACCUUGCCAGCGAAGAGGGUGAUGAAGCCCGCGAGCAGGAGACCCGCUCUUCCCCUGUCCACCGAAAUGAGAACCACAAACCCCAGAAAGGACCAGAUGGGGUCAUCAUUCCCAAUAACUACUGUGACUUCUGCCUCGGAGGCUCCAAUAUGAACAAAAAAAGUGGCCGGCCUGAGGAACUUGUAUCAUGCUCAGACUGUGGGCGCUCUGGACACCCGACCUGCCUGCAAUUCACCACAAACAUGACUGAGGCUGUUAAAACCUAUCAGUGGCAAUGCAUUGAGUGCAAAUCCUGCAGCCUUUGUGGGACCUCAGAGAACGAUGACCAGCUGCUUUUCUGUGAUGACUGUGACCGUGGCUAUCACAUGUAUUGCUUGAAUCCACCAGUCUUUGAGCCUCCAGAAGGGAGCUGGAGUUGUCACUUGUGCCAGGAACUGCUCAGAGAGAGAGCAUCAGCUUUUGGCUACCAGGCCUGAGGAGCUCCAGCAGUCAAGAAACACCUUGCUCCUGGUGUUGCCAUACCAGCACACAAUUCCCAUCCAGAACACAAAGACACAAUCCACAUCCAAAUGAACGGACACUCAAAUACAGGAAGAGCAGAACUGAAAUUCCGUUUUGUGUCUUAGUCUGAACUGGAGACAUUGGAGCUCAGUCUUUUCAUAAUGUGCAGAUGAAUUGAAACCCUAACCUUGUCAUGGGUUCACCAGCUUCCGUAGCUUCCCACCAAAAUAAUCCAAUGCCACUUGGUGAAUAGCCUGGAGGAGUUUUGGGUGCUGCUGAUUGAAGCAUGCCAUUGCAAUGUUGGUCUUCAGGACCAUGAGGUUUUGUAUUGAUGCUUGUAAGAAAAACACAGCUGUCUCAGAUGAGCCCAAAUGUCCUAUUAGUCACAUGGCAGGUACAAGAGACAAGUCAAAAAACUGAAUGAGGGAAAAAAAUAAGGGUUCCUGCCUGAAGAAAACCCCACAUACCAUCUCAUUUCAGAGGAAGAACCUUUCUGUGACCAAUCCUGGGUGACAGGUAGGUGGGCUCAAAGGCUGGAAAGACCCAUCUCUGUGGUGUGUUUGUCACUGUGUCUUUGGUUAUGUACAUGUACCAGAACAGGAGAAAAUGCCUGUCUUUCUUUCAAAUUCCUUUUCAGCUAUGUACACUGCCUCCAGGUUGCCUGUUGCUAUACCCCGUGAGGCCUCACUGGAGUCCACACAAUCUUACUUGGUAUUUGUUUACUUUUGGCAGACACAGACUAAGGUUACAGGUUUGGGAACCAGUACAUAAUUGUAAGGACACCUUCCUGUGUUACUUUUUCCCCCUCUUCCUCUUUUGUAAAGUGUGAACCUUUCUUUGGAACUCUGAAGUGACUGUAUUGUUACAAUGUUUGUAUGUAGAGGUUUGUUUUAACAUGGCUUGUGUGGAGGGCCUUUGCUCUUCUUAUCUCACAUUCAGUUUUAUUAAGUGCUUGAUAGCUUUGCCAGCCUUCUGUGGGGGAGGAGAGGUGAUGAGGUGGCUUCAAAACUUGGCUUUUUUAAGGGAAAUUUGCCCAGCUUUACCCAGAGCAGUAUGAGAAUCUGAGGUGCUUCUGACUGUUCUUCAGUCAUCCUGAUCUGAUUGCUUCUUGGAGAAAGAGAUCAGCCUUCAAACCCUGAGAAAAAAAAUAUAUUGUUUAAUGCACUAAGCCAGCACUGACCAAGAAGGCCCAUCAGUUUGUCACGCACGGAAACCUGCAUGGUGUUUCACCCCGCCAGGAGGUGUCUGUUGAGCACAGAGUGAAUCGUGGCAACUCACACUGCUCUGCGGAUGCCAACGGAGCCACCGCAGCUUGCACCAGCCAAGGAUCAGCCCUUCCAUGUUUUGGUGGUUAGGAAACCUGUAAGCGAAAUCCUCUGAGGUUUGAGAGGAGAGGGAAUUGGGUGUUGGAAGC